AACACCGGAAGCGAUGGGAGAUCCGGGUUGUAUCGGAGAGCUGAGGCGAUUGUCCCUCCCGGAGCUCGUUUCCUGCCAUGAGAAUAGCCGCCUAACCGUCUGCGUGUCCGCCCUAUAUUUUCAAACUUCAGCCCUUUUGUGGGGAAAUGCCGAGUUUAUUUCGUGGCGUUUAUGCUGCAUGGGACAGCUAUAUGUAUGAAACUGCCUCUGCAGUACAGGGAAGGUGGUCCCACAGCAGCUUCGGAAGAUCCUCAGUGAAGUAGACUUCUGUGGACCCCUUUCAGUCUGGAUUCAGGCCUGGUUACAGGACCAAAAUGGCAUUGGGGGCACAUUUGGAUGGGGGAAGGGGUUGUUUGCCCAUGCUUGCUCUUUCUUGACUUCUCAGCAACUUUCAAUACCUUUAAGCAUGAUAGUUUUCUGGAUGGGCUCCAGGGCUUGGGUGUGGUCAGCACUGUAUUAUGGUGGUUCUCUUACUUCAGGACCAGUUCCAGUCCGUGUGUUGUGCGGGGCACAUUUGAUCACUGAUUUGAAGAGUGCCUCAGGGUUCUAUGCUUUCUCCACGUCUUCCACUGAGGAACAAUGAACGUGUACAUGAAGCCACUGGGCGAUGUUAACCAUCAGCACAAGAUGAGGUACCAUUCAUGGUAUAGCUACCCAGCUUUCUCUCUCUCCCAGGCUUCCCUUUUUAGAGAGGUUUAUAAAGAAAAUAUUGAUGCUCCAGUUUCAAUGUACCCAAGAGAAAGUGGAUUAUUUAAACCCUUUUUAAAUCAAGAUUUAGGCAACGGUACCGGAUAGAAAUUACCUGAGUCACACUGAUGGAUGGUUUGUGUUGCACCUUCAGGUCAUUUUCAGACUUUUGAAAGAAUGAAUGUGCUGGUUCAACAAGAAUUCAAGUUUAUAUUGCAUUCAUUAAGAUUAAGGAACUAGAUGGGAGAUGAACGGCAAAAACAAAUCUAAAAAGAACACUAAUCAGUUCUUUUCAAUCAAAACAUGCACUUCCUCAUACACAUAGAACAAUCAAUCAAACUGCAAAGCAUAACAUGCACAAUUUUCUAUAAAAGCAAGGGGGUUGCAGUAUUUUUGCUAGAUUUCUGAGGAUUGGAACACUUGCACAAAUCCUACAUCUGAGUUAGAAUUGGGUCCUAGAAUUAUGUACUUCUCCACUUUUUAUUUAGGAUUAGAUUUCAAGAGAGUAUCCCUCUUUUCUAGCCAAACCAUUUAUCCUAUCUGUAUUCAGUAACCAUCACAACACUCUAGCUAAUUAAAGGAUGAGAAUAGUUAAACCAUAACAAUCAUUUUCCAAGAGAGUAGAAAAGUAUAGGCCUAGUUAGAACAUAAAUUAGGUAUUUGUGGUAGUGUCUUUUGGACUGCACAGUUAUGUCAAGGAAUAGUAGGCACAGGUAAAUCUACAGUGUCAUAAUUAUAUGUUGCAGGCCGGGAUCUGUUUUUAAAUUUCAUUUUUUUGUUCUACUGUUCCUUAAGAUUUAAGAUAUUUUCUCAUAAGUUACUCUGAGCUCUCAUUCCUUUUCCUGGAACUAAUUCCAUGCAUGAUAUCGAAUAACUGUUAGCACUUAUAUACACCUUCAAUUGGGGAAAAAGUCUAAGCAUAGAAGUUGCAACAAUUGAACUCAUACCUCCGUAAUUUAAACAAAUGUCUUCUUUUCCACUUUCCCCAAGUAGGCUCCCACUAUAGUACACAUUUGGAUACCGUUAUAUAACACCUUGCUUGAACUUACCAUAUCCAUAUGCCGAUCAUUGUUUUAUGAAGUUACAAAUAAAACCUAAUUUCAGUUUAUAUAUAUUUGGUACAUAUUUAGAAGACCCCAGGCAAUGGACCUUUUCUGCUAUCGCACCCACGUUGUGUAAUAUUCCAUCAGAAUUGACAUCAGUUUCGUCUCCUGAGUUUUUGAAGGUCCCUCAAGACCUGGUUAUGUAAGCAGGCCGAGGGAUCUGGGUGAACUACUGAGGUGGCUCCAUUACUAUUAACAUCCCCUCAUUUAUUUUAUUUUAUUGUUUCUUUUUCUUCUGAAUAAAAGUAUUGCUUUUAUAGUUCUAAUCUUUUUACAAUUAUUUUUAAAUAAGUAUAAUUAUUUUAGUAAUGAUUGUUUUAUAUGUAUUGUUUUAUUGGAUGUUGUACACUGCUGAGAGUCACAUUCUGUGAUAUUGACAGCCAUAUAAAUUUGAUAAAUUAAUGUUAUAUAGUUCGUAGAAUACAAACUAUGAUGUUCAAUGAUUGAGAGAAGUAACAUCUACUGAAAUUUGGCUACUGGCACUCUUAAUUAUUACUUUUUUAUGAAAUGGAUUUCUUCUUUGCAUGUUACAAUUUGGAGUAUUUCCCUCAAGCAGCUUCUGCAGAGUUGCAGCUCAUACCUAGUAGUGACUUGAAACGAUGACCUCAAUAAACAGAGUGUAAAACAAAAGAGACACCACUUUUUCUUUACUAAAAGAAUAGACUUUAUUAAGCACUGUAAGUCUUUCUCCAUCAUCAACAGAUGAACAGCGCACCAAGAUUCCACCAGCAAAAAACAUUCCCAAAAGACACCCAAGCUUUCUGAUCACAAACCUACUGCAAAUUUCCCCUGAUUUAGAGCAACCUGUCCAAACUUACACUGAUUAAAAAACCCAACAACCUAUGGAGUAUGUUGUGGGGUGCAAGGAUUAGGGAGAUGGGAAUUUGAUUAUCAAGAUUGGGGUGGGGACAGUAAAGAUAACAUUUAUCCAUCCACUAAGAACAGGUGUUAAUUAGCAUAAAAAGAAAUAUUUUUAAAAGGUAGAAGGGAAUAAUGUAUUGAUCAUUAACUUCCCAUAUAAAUAAAGCAUGAAACUUGCAAUUGACGGGAUCACUAACAAGAAAAAUCAGAUUUACUCUGUUCAGCAAAAUUAUUGAUUUGUAUUUUUUCAGCUAAAAUCUUAGGCUAAACAUUUUGAAAAGGCAAUUGUGGAGAGAGAUAUAUCUGGUAAAAAUGCAAUGUCAAGGUUACUCAAGGAAAGUAUGAGGGAAAAGACUGGCUUAAAAUAACAACUGAGUUUGUUUUUACUUUUAAAAAUCUCACUAGGCAUUUAGUUACUAUCAACAAAGCAUCUACCAAAAUACAAGAGCAAUGGUUAUAAUCAGAAAAGGUGUACAUCCCAUCUGAAAGGGUAAUAUUAUAGACAGAUAUGGUGCUUGUGGGAAGAAAGGGUUGAUUUUUCAAAAUUGAGGACAAAAAUCUAAUCUGAAAAAUAACUAGAAAAUGAGCAACAGCGUCUGACUUUAAGCAAUGACCAGUAAAUAGCAGUUAAAAUGGUAAGAUUCGUAACAGGUGUGUUCAUUAGGUUUCCUUUAAACAUUAAAGGUGGACUUUAAAACAGAAAUCAGCACAGGUAAAACCAAAAAGCAGAAGAGGUUUUUGGGAGGGGAGAGAAUGGGAAGAAUAAAAAAUAAAAAAUAGAAGUACAUGCAUAUUUAGCAAAGUACAUGUUGUAAGUUAGCUACUAUAAUGAUUCAACCUUGGUAGUAAAAUUCUGCUAACUACAUUAAAAAUAAAAAAGAACACAUUGUAGUUUGUGUAGGAUUUGUGUCGCCUAAUCUUAACCAUGCUUACUUAGAAGAAGAGACCAUAGUACAAUGAGGCUUUUCAUCCAAGUAGCUACAGUUAAGGUUUACACUAAGUUACAUUUGAAGUUGAGUGAUGGGGGGGGAGGGGGAAUGGUGGUUCUCUGGCCCAAAUGGCUAGUUAGUGGCACUGUGUCCUCUUCACAGGCUCAAGUGUAUCUAUGUAUAAUUUGUGGAUCGGGACACCCCCAUUCCCCUCCACAAGAAUCAUGUCCCUGUUGUAAUAAUGUUCGUCUGUCACUCCCCCAGGGAUCUAAGGGUUCACUUGUUUUUUUCUGAAUCCAAGAAAGGGUGGAAUUCGAAACCACACCAGAAAAAGUUAAAAGCUGUCCCUCCCUGAAAAGGCUCCCUAGUCUUUUCAAAGUAUAUAUUAUACUGAAAGUAUAUUUGGAAUAUUCCAUUUUCUUAAGAGUUCCAGCCAAGUUAACUGGUAGCAAAAGCUUAGGAAUUGCUAGCCACAGUCACAAUUUUCAGUACUGCCUCAGAAUGGGAUCAAUGACUCCUAAGAGAAAGGCAAGCAAUCUUGGUCAACAGGUUGGUUUUAAACUUUCCCUCCCUCCCUGGUGACAAAAUUAUGAAGGAAGCAUGCUAAAACCCCAUGUCUAUGAUUUGAUGGGUCAAAUCCUUACAAAGGUUGUUGGACUCCAGGAAAUAUGCUUUAGAAAUUCAGAACUGCAACCAAAUACAGCAAGCUUAAAAAGAUUAAUUUUAUAUUUCUACCCUAAAAGAUGUCUUCCUAUAUUUUAAAGGAUGCAGUCUGAACUCAGAAAAACACUUUGUCACAUUAGUAAUUUAAGAUUCACUGGAUGAUGGGUAGGGAAGACUCAGAUUACUUCCAUGAAUUUUCAACAUCACAAUAUGCUAACUCAGCAAUUAAUGACAAUAAACAUGAAAACAUAGGUGCAGUUAAUGGGCCUUAAUUCACUGGGAUAAAUACUUGACAAUCUAUACCACACAAAGAUCCAGUUCUAGAGGGAAUCUAGAUCCCAUGGCAAGGAACUCUCCAAAACUGAAGUUCAAUUUCCAUAAUCUCUACUUUAAGGAUUAUGGGAGUUGAAGUCCAUCUUAAAUGAAGGGCACUGAAAUGGGGGAUACCAGACAAAAGGGUUACAGAAAUAAAUAAAAAAAGAAUGGCCUAGAUUCACAAAUACUUGAGAAAACCUUUGGGUCAGUUAGUUACAACAUUUCCCUAGAAAUCAACCUCAAUGAACUGGAGAUUUGCAAUUAAUUGCAACCAUUUAGUUUCCAGCUAUCUAUAAGUUUUUUUCAGAUACAAAAAAUAUUCCUUUUCUUUUCAUAAAACUUCCAUAUUAUCUAUCAUGACUAUUUUAAAACUUCUAAGUUUCACAGAUUAUCUUGCACUAAGUUUCCAGCUUUCUAGAAGUGCAAGGAUAGGAAAAAUAGAUGCUUUGUAUAUUCAGAUUUUUACUCCCGUACUUCUCUAGGGUCACAAACAGGCUAAGCUUACAAUACCUAUUUUUACCAAAUGAUCAGCAGUGGUAAACACCCACCUGUAGUGACAUAUUUGAAAUGAAACAUUCUUCCAGAUUUUUAAAUUUGGAUACAAGGGUUUGAGGGCUACAUAUUUAGCAUCUUUGAAAUCUGAACCCUUGAUUCCAAAGCAAUACUUUAGAUUUCUGAUUUCACAAGAGGAUCUCAAUGUUAGAAACUGUUAUUUAAAAACACUGGUUUGAAAGUUUGUCAUUUCAAGGUUUCAAUUCAAAUUAAUUUUAAUAUUACUAUUUAAGGCACAGUGUAACCUGUAUUAACAUUUGAUUUCUGAUCCCUCAAAAAUUUUAGUAACUACCGUAAGUACAUCUACUAGUUUAGGGAAAGAGGGAAUUUGCAUUCCUUUGCCCCCAAAUAAAGACAAUAACAAUAUGAAAAUCUUACCUGUUGUUUUUCAAAGCACAACCCAAUCUACCACUAUGCUCCUGCUGUAAUUCUAAUCCAACCUUUUUCAAUCUGGUUUCCUCCCCAGACAUGUGUUAGACUUCAGAUCUCCCACUUCCCUAGCCAGUGGACUGGGGCAGGCUAUUCUGAUCAAAAGAGAAGAGGGUCCCUAGGAGAAAGACUCAUUCUGCAAAAAUAGAACCUCAAAUGAUAUUAAUCAGUUCUAUCCUAAAACUUAGGGUGUGGGGGGGAGCCCUUCUAAACUUCUUUAAUUCUCUCAAAGAAAGACUCAAUUACAAAAUCUUUCUCCAGUGGGAAUGACUUCAUUGUAACAUCAUAUUCAUAUUUUAGCUCUGCAGGCACGAACCGUAUCAGUCUGACCUGAUUUGGGAAACUGCAGUAAUUAAAACAGUACAUUUUUGCAACAACAUAUGCAAAUCCACUUGCUUAAAAAGCAUUCGUCAAAUUAUUGCUUUUCACUGUGGACUUAAGAAGGUCAUGUCAUCUGGCUCUCAUAUGGUGGAGCAAUGGGCAUCAAAGCAGAGACGCUUUUUAAGAAAUGGUCACGUAAGGGAAAGCGUUAACUUAAUGCAAGUAAAAGAUGCCUUGACCAAAAAUACAUUCAGAAAUCUAAAUAUAUCAAUGAAGAAGAGUGAUUCUUUGGAUCCAGAAAGGAGAAACAAAAUCAGUAAUUUUAUCCAUCUCUUUGGCUCUGAUACAACACUGGACUUUGAAUUGCAUGUUUUCAUUAUCCCUCUUACAGCCCCCAGGGAAGCACUUUGCAUUUUUAUUGAAUAUUUUAAAGCUGCAUGAUACCUUCUAUUGUUUCGGAUCAGCAGACAGUAAGCAACUCAAAACAAAAUCAGGCCUCAAUCAUCUACAUGUUUUAAAAGUAUUCAGGAUGUUUAUCAAGGGAAAUUUAAUAACAUUAUUUCAAACCUCAUUUUCUACUAGCUUACUCCAGAUCAAAACUAAGUAAAAUUUAAUCUUCAAACAUUGAAUUUUGUCAUGGGUAUAAAAUGAUCAAAUUCAUAUCUCCACAACCAUUUUCUAAAAUGUUAAAAAAAAAAUCUACCAAAUUAAAUUUGGGCAUCAUUUUCAAGAUCUGAGAUUUCAUCCAGGCACCUACAUUUCUAUACAAUAUCUUUGCUAACAUGAACAAUUAGGAUUU
This is a long non-coding RNA of Thamnophis elegans (Western terrestrial garter snake), 6659 nucleotides long. RefSeq lists it as uncharacterized. Lineage: Eukaryota; Metazoa; Chordata; Lepidosauria; Squamata; Natricidae. The record is from RefSeq and is a predicted model, not a curated record. The transcript is spliced from 2 exons.